Molecule: ribosomal RNA, 517 nt
Filed under: uncultured bacterium
Lineage: Bacteria
Description: bacterial SSU rRNA
Rfam family: Bacterial small subunit ribosomal RNA
Source: RNAcentral
UGCCGCGUGUGUGAAGAAGGCCUUCGGGUUGUAAAGCACUUUUGUCCGGAAAGAAAUGGCUCUGGUUAAUACCUGGGGUCGAUGACGGUACCGGAAGAAUAAGGACCGGCUAACUACGUGCCAGCAGCCGCGGUAAUACGUAGGGUCCAAGCGUUAAUCGGAAUUACUGGGCGUAAAGCGUGCGCAGGCGGUUGUGCAAGACCGAUGUGAAAUCCCCGAGCUUAACUUGGGAAUUGCAUUGGUGACUGCACGGCUAGAGUGUGUCAGAGGGGGGUAGAAUUCCACGUGUAGCAGUGAAAUGCGUAGAGAUGUGGAGGAAUACCGAUGGCGAAGGCAGCCCCCUGGGAUAACACUGACGCUCAUGCACGAAAGCGUGGGGAGCAAACAGGAUUAGAUACCCUGGUAGUCCACGCCCUAAACGAUGUCAACUAGUUGUUGGGGAUUCAUUUCCUUAGUAACGUAGCUAACGCGUGAAGUUGACCGCCUGGGGAGUACGGUCGCAAGAUUAAAACUCAAG